Long non-coding RNA from Carassius gibelio (silver crucian carp), 588 nucleotides. RefSeq lists it as uncharacterized. The transcript is spliced from 2 exons. The record is from RefSeq and is a predicted model, not a curated record. NCBI's taxonomy places the organism in Eukaryota, Metazoa, Chordata, Actinopteri, Cypriniformes, Cyprinidae.
CGCGUGUCGAAGCGAAGAGAACAUUCGCCAUUUUGUACCCAACGUAAUUAUUUUCGCAUUCUGGACUCGGAGCCAGUGAGAUUUCGCGGAGAGCCCCGUGACUCUUUUCGUCUGCUUCUCUAGUCAGACCAAACGCGGUCGUGUUGAAAAGGUCAAUUGAAGGCAACGGUAAUGGCGUCUUUAUGUCGUUGCUCUGGAGAGCGUGACGUCAGGGUUUUGUUAACCACGUGACGUGACCGGAACUGAGCGCCCCAGUAAGCACGUGAGACAAGUUAAAUGCUUAUUCACUGACACCUGCCUGAUUUCAAAUUACAAUGCCUGAUUACAGUGUUAUUGAAAUACUCGCUUAACGUGACAUUGAACUAUUGUGAUUUUGAAUCAGACAUGGAAUAAGAGCAUUUUGCCUGGGUAUUUUAAUGUUUUAAGGGUGUUUAUGAUCGAUAAGUCACAUGCUUAUGGCGUUAAUGAUUAUUUAAUGGUUUGAUUUUAAUGUAUAGAUAUAAUCCGUAUCUGUGAAGUGUUGACCCAUUUGUAUACAAUGUCUUUCUAUGAUUUAUCAAUCAAUAAAUCAGUCAGUUUUCCUAUGAA